GCAUUUAUUGCUGGCUACUGAGCUAGGAGCUGGAGACAUUCCAAGAGAUGCGCUUUUUCCUCCAACCUGCUUUAGAGGAGCCCCCAGAGCUGUGUCCAGGCCAUGAAAACAUCUUCUGCUUAUAGUGACACCUUAACUGAUGUUGAUUUUCUGCUAGUUGGUGACAAGCAUGAAUCCUUCGUAGAAAAAUCGCAGGAAUCGAGCUGUGUGGCUGGCUCUGCCCCCAGAGACCUGCUGCAUGAUAAUUAAAAAAGAAGAGAAGAAAAAGGACUUUCCUGGUGGUCCAGUGACUAAGUUCCUGAGCUGGGGGCCCGGAUUUGAUUCCUAGUCAGGGGACUAGAUCCAGCGUGUUACAACCAAGACUGGGCACAGCCAAAUAC
Bos taurus (domestic cattle) is the source of this 380-nucleotide long non-coding RNA. The record is from Ensembl. Lineage: Eukaryota; Metazoa; Chordata; Mammalia; Artiodactyla; Bovidae.